This 733-nucleotide ribosomal RNA is filed under the name Chaetothyriales sp. Its description in RNAcentral is "bacterial SSU rRNA". It matches the Rfam family "Bacterial small subunit ribosomal RNA", at positions 471 to 1058 of the family's 1533-position model. The record is from RNAcentral. Lineage: Eukaryota; Fungi; Ascomycota; Eurotiomycetes; Chaetothyriales.
GACAAUUUUCUAUCUAUAAGUCUUGACCAAAUUACGUGCCAGCAGUCGCGGUAACACGUAGAAGACUAGUGUUAUUCAUCUUUAUUAGGUUUAAAGGGUACCUAGACGGGAAAUCAAGCCAUAAUAGGGACUAAUUUUCUGGAGUUUUAUGUGAGAAGGCGCGAAUUUCCGGAGGAAAGUUGAUAUUUUAUGAUACUGGAAGGACGGGUAACGGUGAAGACAACCUUCUAUGUAAAAACUGACGUUGAGGGACGAAGCCUUGGGUAACGAUAAGGAUUAGAUACCCUAGUAGUCCUUGGAGAAAAUUAUGAAUGCCAUAGGUUAGCUUAACUGCAAAAUACAUUAUAUUUGUAACUAUAUCAGCAAUAAGCUUAAUUUGUUGUUGGACAUUCUUUUAGAUGAGCAAUAACCAUAAUUUGUUGUUAGUCAUACUUUUAGGUCAGCAACAAACGCUAAUGUUGGCCAUACUAUUAAGCUUUUGUUUAAAACGUACUUUAAACCUAGUAGAUUAAUAGUAGUAGUAGUAGUCUUAGUAGCAGUAAUAUGGCCUAUAAAUGAAAGUGCAAGCAUUCCACCUCAUGAGUAAAGCGGCAACGCCCAAAUUGAAAUCAUUAGACCGUUUCUGAAACCAGUAGUGAAGUAUGUUAUUUAAUUCGAUGAUCCGCGAAUAACCUUACCACAUUAUGCAUUGAAUAUUAUUCAAUUAUUACAAGCGCUGCACGGCUGUCUUCAG